UUAAACGGACAAUUUCUUUCUUUAUUCAAGUAUCGUUGCCAGUGGAAUGCCACCCACAUUGCGAGGUUGGUAAACAAGGAGCAUGCUUUAUUCCUGAGAACAAUCAAUGCCAAUGCUACUGCGUUGAAAAUGUAAGUCACUGCGAGAUUGUACGACGACAUCAUCAUUGCCCCAACAACGAGAUUCACCUAUGUAAUAUUAGGGGCGACGUAUGCGAGUGCAGUUGUGUACCUGUGGGAUUGUGGUGAGCUCAAGAAAUAUGGAGGACCUUAAUCGCUCGACAGCUUCUACGCAAAAUGAAAAGAACUGUAUACGGAGAUGUACAUGAAAUAAAUAUCUCGAAAUAAUUGAGAUGCUUGAUUCGUUGUG
This is a non-coding RNA of Dermacentor albipictus, 369 nucleotides long. The record is from RefSeq and is a predicted model, not a curated record. NCBI's taxonomy places the organism in Eukaryota, Metazoa, Arthropoda, Arachnida, Ixodida, Ixodidae.